GAUAGAUGUUUUUAUAUAUAUUUAGUAGGUUCAGAAAUUGUCCACAUCAUUUUUGUGACUUAGCAGUUGGUCUUCUUCUGUUAGAGGAUGAAUGAAUAAAUUAUCUGUCAUGGCUCCUUUGAGAGUUAGGGAUCUAGAACAGAAAUGGGGAGAUUGCCCAUUUCUGACCUCUCUUCUGAUGUUUCCAGCCAGGCGUGCCAACUGUCUCAGUGGUUUCAGUUGUUUUCACCACUCAGGUUCUUGCUUAAACAGAUCUGAAGCUCUUAGCUCACUUCACAUGGCUAUCAGCAGAGGAAAAAGACUGAGGGAAAAGGACUGCAGAGGAUUUGAGGCAAAUCACAUGGCAGUGUGUCUCUGGUGCAGGAUGUAUAAACACAUGAGGGUUUCGCCUGACCUCACAAAUGCAAUGAGACAACCGCAGUUUUGGAGCAGACAAACUCAGUGACAAACCGAAGCAAGACCUCAAUUUGAUGGGAGAGAGCGGGAUGCAUGUCCUGGUGAGCACCACCUAUCCG
This 515-nucleotide long non-coding RNA is filed under the name Anas platyrhynchos platyrhynchos (common mallard). RNAcentral's name for it is "lncRNA (ENSAPLG00000020644.1)". Lineage: Eukaryota; Metazoa; Chordata; Aves; Anseriformes; Anatidae. The record is from RNAcentral.